CCAAGAUGCUGUGUGGGCCCUCAGGCUCUCAGCUUGUCCUGCUCAAGCUGGAGAGAUCUGUGACCCUGAACCAGCGUGUGGCCCUGAUCUGCCUGCCGCCUGAAUGAUAUGUGGUGCCUCCAGGGACCAAGUGUGAGAUUGCAGGCCGGGGUGAGACCAAAGGUACGGGUAAUGACACAGUCCUAAAUGUGGCCUUGCUGAAUGUCAUCUCCAACCAGGAGUGUAACAUCAAGCACCGAGGACAUGUGCGGGAGAGCGAGAUGUGCACUGAGGGACUGUUGGCCCCUGUGGGGGCCUGUGAGGUUGGUGGCAG
Molecule: long non-coding RNA, 313 nt
Filed under: Homo sapiens (human)
Lineage: Eukaryota; Metazoa; Chordata; Mammalia; Primates; Hominidae
Description: non-protein coding lnc-CROCC-3:15
Source: RNAcentral